Dunckerocampus dactyliophorus (ringed pipefish) is the source of this 628-nucleotide long non-coding RNA. RefSeq lists it as uncharacterized. The record is from RefSeq and is a predicted model, not a curated record. Lineage: Eukaryota; Metazoa; Chordata; Actinopteri; Syngnathiformes; Syngnathidae. The transcript has 3 exons.
CUCACCCCAGUCGACAUUCUCCUUGUUUUAUUUGUUUUAUUUGUCUUAUUUGUUGUUUUAUACUCCAAAAUGACUCGCAGAAGUAAUUCCACUUCGUCGUCAGUCUAGACAAGCCUUGGAAAGCGGAAGACGACGGACUUUAAGCGCAUGCAUUCUUUCUUCUUCAAUAGUUUUGGUGUCAAGUGGUUCUGUCUGCGCAUCUGUUCACAGCGCCACAGAUCACCACAUACACACUGCUGGCCCGAAACCAACCUUCAAUAACAGAGAGAUCGGACAUGGAUCACUAUUGACUUAACACCAGCGUCUGUGUUGGAGAUCAAGCUUGCUUGUGUGUCACUCGUGCGCAUCUGGUUCUCAUCACAGAGAAGAAAAGCUGCUGGUUCUGGCCAUGAGGGAGCUGGAUGAGAUGUAGAAGGAGGAGGAGGGAGUCACUUAUCCUUUCCUAUCAAAUUCCUUUGCCUAAUUAUUGCUGAUGUACUGUAUAUGAACAAAUGUACAUCUCCUUUUUGUGCAUUUCCGCAUGCACCCAUGGGUGGAAAAAACAAACAAAACAUGGAGAUGUGAGCUAAUGAGCUUCUCCAGGAAUGUUUGCCUUUUUCAUAACCGAGGCAAACAGAUACUUGGCACA